GCAGUGCUAUUUCAGUGGUAGAAUUUUUACCUUCCACGCAGGAGACCCAGGUUCAAUUCCUGGUCGACGUA
This 71-nucleotide transfer RNA is filed under the name Loxodonta africana (African savanna elephant). It matches the Rfam family "tRNA". Rfam says of the family: Transfer RNA (tRNA) molecules are approximately 80 nucleotides in length. Their secondary structure includes four short double-helical elements and three loops (D, anti-codon, and T loops). Further hydrogen bonds mediate the characteristic L-shaped molecular structure. tRNAs have two regions of fundamental functional importance: the anti-codon, which is responsible for specific mRNA codon recognition, and the 3' end, to which the tRNAs corresponding amino acid is attached (by aminoacyl-tRNA synthetases). tRNAs cope with the degeneracy of the genetic code in two manners: having more than one tRNA (with a specific anti-codon) for a particular amino acid; and 'wobble' base-pairing, i.e. permitting non-standard base-pairing at the 3rd anti-codon position. The record is from Rfam by way of RNAcentral. Lineage: Eukaryota; Metazoa; Chordata; Mammalia; Proboscidea; Elephantidae.